GGGUCAGUAGGUUAGUCAUGCCACUGGUAUGUACUGGUCUCACUGAUUCCUCCUUCCUGAUGAGCCGUAAUGCCAUUAAUUUGGUGUUGCGGGGAAUCUGGACUGUUACUUUGAAAAAAUUAGAGUGUUUAAAGCAGGCUGACGUCUGAAUACAUUAGCAUGGAGUAAUGAAAUAGGACGUUCGAUCCUAUUUUGUUGGUUUCUAGGAUUGACGUA
This 216-nucleotide ribosomal RNA is filed under the name Campeiostachys nutans. RNAcentral's name for it is "Elymus nutans partial small subunit ribosomal RNA". The stretch from base 40 to 216 matches the Rfam family "Eukaryotic small subunit ribosomal RNA", at positions 686 to 864 of the family's 1831-position model. The record is from RNAcentral. Lineage: Eukaryota; Viridiplantae; Streptophyta; Magnoliopsida; Poales; Poaceae.